GAUCCUGGCUCAGGACGAACGCUGGCGGCGUGCUUAACACAUGCAAGUCGAACGGAAAGGCCCUGCUUUUGUGGGGUGCUCGAGUGGCGAACGGGUGAGUAACACGUGAGUAACCUGCCCUUGACUUUGGGAUAACUUCAGGAAACUGGGGCUAAUACCGGAUAGGAGCUCCUGCUGCAUGGUGGGGGUUGGAAAGUUUCGGCGGUUGGGGAUGGACUCGCGGCUUAUCAGCUUGUUGGUGGUGUGNGUCUACG
RNAcentral lists this ribosomal RNA (254 nucleotides) under uncultured bacterium. RNAcentral's name for it is "partial 16S ribosomal RNA". It matches the Rfam family "Bacterial small subunit ribosomal RNA", at positions 15 to 269 of the family's 1533-position model. The record is from RNAcentral.